UUGCCGUGGUGACGAGUGAAGGGCGGUGCAGCUGAGGGGCGCUGGUAGGCCCAGGGCACCGGGCGGCGACACCCUCGGGUCCCUCGCUCGGGGAAUACGAAAGAAAACAACGCCCAUCGGAAAAAUCAGAGAAUCAUGGAAGGGUUUGGGUUGGGAGCGACGUUGGAAGAUUGGGCAGCGACACCUUUCACUAGACCAGGUCGCUCAAAGCCCCAUCCUGCCCAGCCUUGAGCAGUCUCAGGAAUCGGGCAUCCACAGCUUCUCUGGGCAGCAUGUCCCGGUGCCUCACCACUCUCACAGUAAAGAAUUUCUUACUCAUAUCUAAUCUACAUCUACUUCCCUUCAGUUUGAAGCCAUCCCUCCUUGUCCUGUCACUCCAUGCCCUUGUGAAAGGUCACUCUCUGGCUCUCUUGUGCCCCUUUACAUAGUGGGAGCUGCUGUAAGGUCUCCACGGAGUCUUCUCCGGGUUGAACAACCUCAUCACUCUUCGCUUGUCUUCAUAAGAGAGGUGCUGCAUCUCCUCUGAUCAACUUUGUGCCCCUCGUCUGGACUCGUUUGAAUGGAUCUAUGUGUUUCCUGUGUUGGGGUCCCCACAGCACUCCGGGUGAGGUCUCACCAGAGCAGAGCAGAGGAGCAGAAUCCCUUCCCUCAUCCUGCUGGCCCCACUACCUUUGAUGCAGCUCAAGAUUAACCUGAGCUUUCUCUUUUAGCGUUGAACUCCUCAAGGGCACUAACGUGUUUCUCCCAGAGGGACUUUUCUUGCACUGUGUUCUUGUUGCGAUGCAACAAUAUGAGUAUGUCUGUCUAGCACAGCAUAACAAUAUUUAAAAGUGAGGAAUGUAUGAAACAUGACAGGACUUCAGCAUGGUGAAAGAAUAACCAAAACAAAUCACAUCCACAUGGAGCUAAAGGAGAUGAGAUCUUUGCAGUGGUAAAAUGGAGUAGAUUUUAAAGAGGGGAGAAACAUCUGAUAGCUUCUCAGUAAUAUGAAAUUAAACCAGUUUGACACUUUUGAAUAAAUGCAGGUGAAAUUGGAAGCUAUUAAAAGAUGGGGCUUUGGUUCAUCAUCAGUCAGUUCAGGCUAAAAAUAAAGACCCUGUGAGCUAAAGAGAUGAAACAGGUUUUUCUACUUGGUAAUAACAUGGGUCUCAUCCAACAAUGAUGGUUGUUCCCUCAAAAAUGAAAUUAGUUCUGGUGCAACAGUAGCAUCCAAAAAUCAUAGACAUCUAUCUAUAAAAACCUGUUCACAGCAGGAGCUUCUUUUCCCCAGUAUGAACAAGGGCUGUCAACAAGUUUUAAACCACUGGAGACUGAACUUCUUAAGUACAUCUGCACUCGAUUUCCUACGUUCAGUUUAUAAAUAUUCCUUGUUUCUGCUAAAAAUGCCUUUUCCUUAUGGUCCAAUCUCCACAGAUCAAGUGUGUUUAACUCUUCUGGGUAUUUCAUGCUAGAGACCAAACACAAAAAGAGUCUUCAAGUUACUGGAACCAACACCAACCUUCUGAAGAGUAAUUAAUGUAAAUUGAUAUACAUGAACCAACAAUUGCUGAAAAUUAAUACCAGAUUAAUGCAAGUGCAUAGUCAGAACUAUACCAAGGAGAAGAACAAGCUGAAAUGGUUAAUAGAAAGAAGGUAGAUAAGGAAACAGAUGAAAGCAGAAUCUUGUGAAUGAAGAUACUGGUAUGAUGAUUUUAAGACUAGAGUAGAAUUUCUUUUUCCCCUUUAGUGUGAACUACACAAAACCCUUCACCUUUUGAGGAUUCUGCUUGGUGCAGCUUUAAGGUUAUUUUGGUCACAACAGAUGACUGCAGACCAUAAAUGUUUUGUCUUGUCCAACUUGCCCUGUAGCCACUGUGCCUGAGCCAGAGUAGAGAGCAGCUAUCCAUGGAAGAUAUGAGAAACAGUGUGUGUUUCUCUGGCUGCAGGCUAUAAUUAGUUCUUAGUAGGUAAUCAACAAAACUGCAUGCUUAUUCUCCUUCCACCCCAUGAGAUUUUCUUCUCUACAUGAAAUAUUCACGCAAAAUUUCAAGAUUAUAUCAUUUGUGAGUCGUUUUUCCUGAUACUUCUAUUUGGAGUGGUUAGAGCUGGGAAUUGAAGCAAUUACAGAAUUCUGACAGAUGCAUCUGUUCAAGGUUCAGAUGCUAUCAGAACAUUUCUGUAUUUCCAGCCAAGACGUUGACAAUGGGUGGCUCCCUGCUCCUUCUUCAUUUACCCUCACUCUCCUGGUUGUGGUGAAGAGCUUGGCAUAUUUGCAUUUCUUGAAAUGCAGAAGCAGCAGACUCUGGUGAGAUGUUUCAUUGUCUGUAAAAGAGGGUGACUCCAAGGCCUGAUCACAGGAAGACCAGCUCUCAGCUUCUCCUCAAGGUCACAUCUCUGUCAAGCUAUCCCAAUCUCAGCUGCAAAAAUAGCAACAUUCUCAGCAUGGAAACAGUAGAAGCAAAAUCCAAUUUUAAAAGUUCCUGGAAAUAUUGAGUGCCCUUUUUUCCAUCAUAACAUCUGAGGUAGCCUUUUCUUGCUGUAUAGAGGCAACCUGAAAAUUGUCUGAAGAUGGCAAAGCUCUGCUGAACAAGGUCAGCUCCCACAAGAACUUCACUUGCCCUUGAUUCUCACCCUCAACAUGAGUCAUGAACAGCAGUGGGCAGAGCUGUAACAACGUUGAAUGCUUCCUGGAUAAAAUCCCUAGAGCUUUUUAAAGACCAUGAGAAGGACUCUCCAGCUGAGUGACAGAGACAACAACACAGUUCCCACUAUUUAAUAGGCUUUUUAUUAUAUUGUGAACAAAAACUGUGUAAGAAAAAUAUUAAAUACAGAACAGGCCAUAGGUAAUUUCACAGAUACAUACUACACUCAGGCUGAUGCUGGCAGAACCAAUGAAUUUUUAUAUCUGCCAGAUUUACUACUAAAAUUAGUAUAAUUUGCAUGUUUAAGUAUCCCCCCCUAAAGUCGUUGCUGGAUAGUUCUAAGGAGCUAAAAGGAGCAGAUCUUCUCUGCAGCUUAAUAUAAGGGUUUCAUGAAUAAAAAGGCUAAGGAGCAAAACAGAACGGGAGGGUUUUGAAGUUAUCUAUGAAGGAUGAUUAUCUAUUUACAAGAUUUUAUUAAUCUUGUAUCAAUUUUGUAAUCAAAAAAAUGACAGCUUUACAGUAUUAGCUGCUUUCAAACCAUUUGCAUUUGGGGUUCUGAUUCUGCAGUUGCUGAGUUGUAAUUGUCCUCUUAAGAAGAAAAAUAGGAUGAUGGUCAACAGCCCCUUCAAAGGAUAGCCAGGGUUUCACCUUUUAUGUAAAUGCCCAAGGCAAUUGUUUGGAUGCCCAGGUAAGGAGGUAAGGCACCCAGAAUGUGGGAAAAUAAAAUUCAAGUGCCAUUACGCUGGAAACGGUGUUAGUCCAGAGCUCCUUCCUCUUUGCUAUCACUCUAUCCAUCUGCUGCAGGAUAUUCUGGGAAGUUCUGCUUUGUAUGGCACACUCAAAUAUUCAGUAGGACAAGGACAUAUGUCAUACAAUAUGGUCAUUAAAGCAUUCAAGUAGUGGGUGCUUUACACAGCUCUUCCAGGUAUUUAAUCAUUCUAUGGAAUACACAGUUUAGAACUUCUCCCCUGAACAGCUGGAUGACUAUAGCACUUACCUAGACAAUUCCAAUGUUCUGAGAUAAAAACUGGAGGUGUUUUAGAUCCAGGUGAAUGCCUCUCUUCUGAGCUAUUAUGGAUAAAAAAAGCAGACACCUCCAUCCAUGACUGUAUAGAAAUACAUAUCAACAUAUACAUUGUAUCAAAUCCUGCAGAUGAAAUAGAAGGGGCAAAAAAAAAAUUAUCCCCUGAAUCUGGGAUUUCUGUCUAAAUUCAAAGUAUCUGGGUCCUGUAAAGAUAUAGAUGUUAGUAUCAUCAGGUUAUGGCAAAAUCUAAGUAACUCUCGCUUAUUUCUUCUUUAAAAAAUGUAUUUACUGAUUUAUUGCAACAAAUACCACCUAUAUUUUGGUCAAAACCACCUAAAAUGUCAUAGAAUCAUUUGAAUCCUUGUUUUGUAACUUCAUUCUGUAAUGCUUUAAAAUUGUACAGAUUUUAAUACUAAUAAGCCCAGAAUACUCAGCAGUCCCUCUCAAAAGAGAAACUAGGAACCUCAAGGAAGAAGAAUUCAUGAAUUAGGAAAUACACGAAGGUAAUUCUUGCACAACUCGGAAGUGCUGAAGUUUUCUUAAAAAACCUAUGAACUAAUAUAGUUGAAGGAUCCUUCUGAGUCUAGCUUCCAGGCAACUUAAUUCCUUUCUCUUGUUAAACCAAGACAUUCAAGGUGUGAAAAGCCCUAGUCUGAGUACUACCUUGCACAACUAUGUCAAAUCUGGGAUCUAGAAGUACAACACUGAGUCAGAUAAUACAUUUGCCUCUGAUAUCACAUAUCAGCAUUGCAGCUCUGUAGUCAUACUGUACCAUUACUAAACUACUGUUUACUGCCUUGCAAUUCUGUAAAAAAAAAACCCCAAACUUGUAAAAACACAUAUUAAUUUUCCAAGAAACCUUAAGGUAUGUCACAAACAAUUAAAGACAUUUCUUGGCUAGAGGAUUUGGUACAGUAUACAAACAUACAGAGAGCAGAAAGAAGAGAGUGAAAACAAGAAACUCAUCCCGUUAGCCAAUUAGUAUAGCAUUGAUAAUUUACUCAUUCCUACAUUUUUCCUACUCAUUUCCUACAAUUUGAAUUCCUGGGAAGUUUUGAGUGUAGCACAGUGAUGUCUGGUGAAUAGCUUUGGGAAUAAUAUCGUAAGCACACCUUCUGCCAAAUGGUAUCAGCAGCAAGCGGGAGCUAAAUUUAAAUAUCAAAGACAUUUAAAUUGACACACACAUUGGCUGCUGGCCAGAGACCCAAGGAAAGCUGUGUUGUUGGGUUGGUUUUUUAAUGAGUUCCUUUUUUGGAUCUCAGGGAGCUUGGUAGCAAGCUGUCUGUCAGGAUGUAGCACUAUGGAGGCAGUGAGAUGCGAAACCGAUUUGUGGAAGAUCAACAGUAGAUAAGUAUUUUAAAGGUAGUUGGAUAGAGGUAAUAAUUACAUACACAUCAGCAGGAGAGGUCACCCAAGGACAGAAGGACUGAGGAUGGGGGGGGAAGCAAUACCUUUUGAGAAGGCUACACCUUGAGGUGGGAGAAAAAGCUUUCGGGAAAGAUGCUUGAGGGAAAGUCUAGACUGAAACAAAAAGAGCAUAGAGAAGUCCUUAUGCCCAAUGCUACAAGGUAUCAAAGGACAGAUAUUUAAUAGUGGUGUCAAGGGCAACAAAUACAUCGGAGAGGAUGAGGAUCAUCCAAGAUGUGCAGGCUCGCACCUUGGUUAGGAAGUAGACUUUCAGUGAUGGUACAAGGAGGAUGUCUGCGAAGAGGAGCCAUCAGGAACAGACUGAAAGUGGUCUAAGACUCAGAUCACAGCUAUUUAUUUCCUUAUUGCCACCACUGUCACUUUGUUCAUCUACUUUGCCUUUUGUAACAGUUGUAAACAUCAAGAGCUGUAGAAACAAGUGUUCUGUUUCUAUUAAUUUGGACAGCACCAAAGUCAGAUGUGCAGAGAUGCACAAUGGGCCAGGAAGAUUUGAUUUCCCAGGAAACAAUAAAUCAACAGGGUAACUGAAGGAUUAAUGCACUGAACAGAGGAAUAUGGAAGAAAUGGCAGAGUCAGCAAAACAAGAAUGGAAAUAACAAAAGCUGUUGAUUAUCGUAUUACAUUGUGGUUAGUGGAUC
Molecule: non-coding RNA, 5711 nt
Organism: Cyanistes caeruleus (blue tit)
Lineage: Eukaryota; Metazoa; Chordata; Aves; Passeriformes; Paridae
Source: RefSeq, a predicted model, not a curated record